UACGUAGGGUGCAAGCGUUAUCCGGAAUUACUGGGCGUAAAGCGUGCGUAGGCGGCGAGGUAAGUCUGGUGUGAAAUCCUGGGGCUCAACCCCAGAAUUGCACUGGAUACUGCUUUGCUAGAGGACUGGAGAGGAGAUUGGAAUUCACGGUGUAGCAGUGAAAUGCGUAGAUAUCGUGAGGAAGACCAGUGGCGAAGGCGAAUCUCUGGACAGUUCUUGACGCUGAGGCACGAAGGCUAGGGGAGCAAACGGG
This 253-nucleotide ribosomal RNA is filed under the name uncultured bacterium. Its description in RNAcentral is "partial 16S ribosomal RNA". It matches the Rfam family "Bacterial small subunit ribosomal RNA", at positions 524 to 776 of the family's 1533-position model. The record is from RNAcentral.